UCACACGGCGUCUUCACCGGCGAUUGGAUCUCGAGCUCUCGUCCCUGGUUCAGAUGUCAGAUGAUGAAGACGAUGGUUGAUCGCGAUGGUGACACCCAGAGCUAGAAGGCCACGAGGAGUUCAAUUCAAUAUGAGAUGGAUUUCAACGGGCAAUAGAUAAUGACAUGUGACAAGCUAGAGUUGAUAGCAUUAAGCCUUUAUUUGAAGAAGCAAGAAUUGAUUCAGGGAAGAGUGAAAUAGAUGCAGAGGUUGUAAAAAAGGUUUGGGACAAGAUAGCACCUGCUAUGGCUUCACAGUUUGAUGCUCCCUACUCAGUUCCUCUGAUUGCACCACGUCCGCUCCUCCUAAAUGGUGCUGACGACCCUCAUUGCCCAGUCCUUGGUCUACAAGAACCUGCCUCCAAAGCUGUUGAGGCUUAAGCAGAAGUUGGUUCUGUGGAUAAGUUCAAGGAUCCAAAGAACUAGCUCGACUGGACUCUAGAUCACGGACAAUUUAGUCUUGGCACUUAAUUAGGAUGGCUAAAUUACAUUUGAUGGAUAUUUGCUAUCAGAAUUAUGAAUUUUAUGAAUCUACAUAUUAUACGCAUGGUUUUGAAUAUUGUAAUUGAAUGUCU
Molecule: long non-coding RNA, 613 nt
Organism: Triticum dicoccoides
Lineage: Eukaryota; Viridiplantae; Streptophyta; Magnoliopsida; Poales; Poaceae
Exons: 7
Source: RefSeq, a predicted model, not a curated record